This 253-nucleotide ribosomal RNA is filed under the name uncultured bacterium. RNAcentral describes it as "partial 16S ribosomal RNA". It matches the Rfam family "Bacterial small subunit ribosomal RNA", at positions 524 to 776 of the family's 1533-position model. The record is from RNAcentral.
UACGGGGGGGGCAAGCGUUGUUCGGAAUUACUGGGCGUAAAGGGCUCGUAGGUGGCCAACUAAGUCAGACGUGAAAUCCCUCGGCUUAACCGGGGAACUGCGUCUGAUACUGGAUGGCUUGAGUUCGGGAGAGGGAUGCGGAAUUCCAGGUGUAGCGGUGAAAUGCGUAGAUAUCUGGAGGAACACCGGUGGCGAAGGCGGCCUGCUGGGCAGUUGCUGACGCUGAGGCGCGACAGCGUGGGGAGCAAACAGG